RNAcentral lists this ribosomal RNA (891 nucleotides) under Pseudomonas aeruginosa. RNAcentral describes it as "partial 16S ribosomal RNA". The stretch from base 489 to 891 matches the Rfam family "Bacterial small subunit ribosomal RNA", at positions 903 to 1270 of the family's 1533-position model. Lineage: Bacteria; Pseudomonadati; Pseudomonadota; Gammaproteobacteria; Pseudomonadales; Pseudomonadaceae. The record is from RNAcentral.
CGCACAACCUGGGGACUACAGUGAACCCAAAAACUCCGUGGGACUUAGGAGCUCCCCGGUUAGAAGGGUCGGCUGGAGAAAUUUCCCUCGCUGCGUAUAACGCGGGUGAAAAAAGGCCCCUCAGGAAAAUUAAGGGGAAAGGAGACCAACCCAAGUUGGCCGGAAAAAGCGGACACCCACCCCUGUGGGACACCUGAAAAACCCGUGAGACAACCUUGGAAAGAGUGUCCCGAAAAAAGGCCGGUCGGGGGGGAGACCCCAAACCCACAGGAAUCUUUAAGGAGAAUUAAACCCCCUCGGUUAAGUCCAAAGCGCCGUUUUAACCGGAAAUGUUCGUGAAUAUAAGAGCCCCGUUGGGGUGAACCCCCUUGAAGGAAUUCUCUAAGAUGGGGCGCCAAACUUUAAACCGCCGGAUUUAAGGUUCUGACCCCGCGCCAUGGGGGGAAGGUUACCGGCGCGAGCCAAAAGGGUUUAAAACCCCAAAAUGGAAAUGGACCGGGGGGCCCCGCCAACAAGCGGGUGGAAGCAAGUUGGCUUUAAAUUCCGAAACACCGCGAAGGAACCCCUACCCUGGGCCCCGUGACCAAGCUUGAGAAACCUUUCCAGAGAUCGGAAUUUGGGCACCUUUCGGGAAACUCAGAACACAGGUGGCCUCGCAUGGCCGUCCGCUCAGCUUCGUGUCGUGAGAUGUUUGGGUUAAGUCCCGUAACGAGCGCAACCCUUGUCCUUAAGUUACCCAGCACCUCGGGUGGGCACUCUAAGGAGACUGCCGGUGACAAAACCGGAGGAAGGUGGGGAUGACCGUCAAGUCAUCAUUGGCCCCUUACGGCCAGGGCUACACACGUGCUACAAUGGUCGGUACAAAGGGUUCCAAGCCGCGAGGUGGAGCUA